AGAGUUUGAUCCUGGCUCAGGAUGAACGCUAGCGGCAGGCCUAACACAUGCAAGUCGAACGGUAACAUGACAGUGCUUGCACAGUUGAUGACGAGUGGCGCACGGGUGCGUAACGCGUAUACAAUCUACCUUUUACAGGGGGAUAGCCUUUAGAAAUGAAGAAUAAUACCCCAUAGUAAGUGCAUUUCGCAUGGAAAGUACUUUAAAGUUUCGGCGGUAAAAGAUGAGUAUGCGUCCUAUUAGCUAGAUGGUGUGGUAACGGCACACCAUGGCAACGAUGGGUAGGGGCCCUGAGAGGGGGAUCCCCCACACUGGUACUGAGACACGGACCAGACUCCUACGGGAGGCAGCAGUGAGGAAUAUUGGACAAUGGGCGAGAGCCUGAUCCAGCCAUGCCGCGUGUAGGAAGACUGCCCUAUGGGUUGUAAACUGCUUUUAUACAGGAAGAAACCACAGAACGUGUUCUGUGCUGACGGUACUGUAAGAAUAAGGAUCGGCUAACUCCGUGCCAGCAGCCGCGGUAAUACGGAGGAUCCAAGCGUUAUCCGGAAUCAUUGGGUUUAAAGGGUCCGUAGGUGGAUAAUUAAGUCAGAGGUGAAAUCCUGCAGCUCAACUGUAGAAUUGCCUUUGAUACUGGUUAUCUUGAAUUAUUGUGAAGUGGUUAGAAUAUGUAGUGUAGCGGUGAAAUGCAUAGAUAUUACAUAGAAUACCAAUUGCGAAGGCAGAUCACUAACAAUAUAUUGACACUGAUGGACGAAAGCGUGGGGAGCGAACAGGA
RNAcentral lists this ribosomal RNA (778 nucleotides) under uncultured bacterium. RNAcentral describes it as "bacterial SSU rRNA". It matches the Rfam family "Bacterial small subunit ribosomal RNA", at positions 8 to 777 of the family's 1533-position model. The record is from RNAcentral.